AGCGAACGCUGGCGGCAGGCUUAACACAUGCAAGUCGAACGCAUCCUUCGGGGUGAGUGGCAGACGGGUGAGUAACGCGUGGGAACAUGCCCUUUGGUUCGGAAUAACACAGGGAAACUUGAGCUAAUACCGGAUAAGCCCUUUUGGGGAAAGAUUUAUCGCCGAGGGAUUGGCCCGCGUCCGAUUAGCUAGUUGGUGAGGUAAUGGCUCACCAAGGCGACGAUCGGUAGCUGGUCUGAGAGGAUGAUCAGCCACACUGGGACUGAGACACGGCCCAGACUCCUACGGGAGGCAGCAGUGGGGAAUAUUGGACAAUGGGGGCAACCCUGAUCCAGCCAUGCCGCGUGAGUGAUGAAGGCCCUAGGGUUGUAAAGCUCUUUCGGCGGGGACGAUAAUGACGGUACCCGCAGAAGAAGCCCCGGCUAACUUCGUGCCAGCCGCCGCAGUAA
Molecule: ribosomal RNA, 449 nt
Filed under: uncultured bacterium
Lineage: Bacteria
Description: partial 16S ribosomal RNA
Rfam family: Bacterial small subunit ribosomal RNA
Source: RNAcentral